Molecule: long non-coding RNA, 1135 nt
Organism: Alligator mississippiensis (American alligator)
Lineage: Eukaryota; Metazoa; Chordata; Crocodylia; Alligatoridae
Exons: 7
Source: RefSeq, a predicted model, not a curated record
CAGAAAUAAUGGGCAGAAGCUUUCUAAUUUCCAGUCAAAGUAUAUUCCUGGUUCAUUGAUACCUGUGUGCUCUUCUGCCAACAUGAUAUUUUGGCUUAAAAACCUCCGAUUCCUUGCUGUUUAUCCCCCUCCGUCUUUGUAGCAUAAGCCAACGUGUUUUCCCGUUAAGACAGUUCCGGACGAACCUGUCACGCAGGUGAUGUACGGGGCGGUUAUCUUCCACCUUGCAGUGAACUCUCUGCUCCGUCUUGACCUGUACAGGUGCCCGCCGCGCUCCAGAGAGUUGCUUCAGAGAAGUGAAUCUGCGAGGUGACCGGUGCGGUAACUGUGGUUGGGAUGGACUGGCGUACAAGAAAUGUGCUGAAAAGGAUAUUUUGUGUGGAAGAGUGCAGUGUGUUAAUGUUCAAAGCAUACCAGUAAAGGCAGAUGAGGAGACUACAGUCCAGACUCCCAUUAAUAAUACCAUUUGUUGGGGUAUAGACUUCCAUGUCGGGCCAGAUGUUCCUGAUGUGGGAUCGGUGAAAGACGGCACCCUGUGUGAUAAAGACCAGAUGUGUAUAAACAGAACCUGUGUCAGCACAAAUAUUCUGGAGUAUUACUGCCGUGAUGAGAAAUGCAACGGCCAAGGGAUUUGCAACAGCAACGGAAACUGCCACUGCGACUUUGGAUGGGCCCCCCCAUACUGUACAGAGAAAGGAUCUGGAGGAAGCCUUGACAGUGGACCUCCUCCAUCUACCUCUACUACAUCCUCCAAUACCUUUUUAAUAGGGAUAAUCAUAGGAAGCGUGAUUCUCCUUCUGCUUAUCACCAUUGCAGUGUGUAGUAUUGCCUGUCGCUUUUGAAGGUCUGGUCAGAAAUCACAGACAAGCAAGAAAAAAAACGAUUCUUCUGCUAGUGUAGGCAAGGGCAGUCAAAAGUAAUCAGGAGCAAUUACGUCUUUGUGCACCAAAAAGGCCAGACCAGCAUUUUGCCAACUGCUGAGGUAGCGUUUCAUAAGUUCCAGCUCGUGGGAUUCAUCAAAAGCCUUCUUAUAUCCUCAACCCUAUCAGCGUCUGUCUAUUUUUGUUCACCGGUUAAAAUCUUGAUUUUGCUUAAAUAAAUGUGUUUUCUCCUUGUUUCUGUGUUUCUUUUUGUA